RNAcentral lists this long non-coding RNA (791 nucleotides) under Apteryx owenii (little spotted kiwi). Its description in RNAcentral is "lncRNA (ENSAOWG00000016593.1)". The record is from RNAcentral. Lineage: Eukaryota; Metazoa; Chordata; Aves; Apterygiformes; Apterygidae.
GCGCCACGCCGCUUCCGCGCACGCGCCUCUCGCGAGAGCGGCGGCGGCGGCAGCUGCGGGGCGGCGAGUGUUCUCCGUCCCAUCGCGAGAGCUGCCGCUCCCGCGCGGAGGCGCCCAGCGGCUCCCGCCCCGCCAACGGCUAACGGCUCCCCGCGGGGGGAGGGGCGGGCUCGCCUCAGCGCAGCCGCCAGCUCUGCUCCCCUGUGACAGUGUUAUAAACAUGGCAAACCAAAGGAAGACCUUAGAAAACAACACAAGGAAGCUAUGAAGGCUGUUGAGAAAGCAAAGAAGCCAGCUGGACCGCUAAAGACUGCCUGAGCAAGUGAAAUAUGACUACAUAUUUUCUUCUGGAAAAACAGAUGACAGUACUUAAAAUCCUGCAUACAGUAACUGUUACCACUGAAGAUUUAACAACAGAAAGGAUAACUGGCUGCCUACAUCAAUUUUCUAUGUAAAUGUUGCCUGAUGGUGAUCAUUACUAGUUGGUGACCAUGUCCCAAAUCAUAAAGCAGUUCCCUACUGGGACAGAGCUAGCAGUGGAUACUGAUAAAUAGGAGGGAGGAGGUGGGUAAAUCACUUGUUUCUUUUGGUGGCUUGUGGAGGGCAUAAUGGGCCCCAUUUUGGGAAAGAACUGAAAGAAUAUGUGUAGGAUAAUGUGCAUUACAAAGAACUGAGAAUUUUAAAAUGGAUUGGCUUCAGAAACUGGAAGUAAUUUAAAGAGAUGCAAAAAUCUGUGUUCUGAUUUUUACUUGUUUCUGAAACUGCUAAAUAAAUGAACAGGAUCUUUUUCA